CACCGGUGACGGCGGGACUCUCUGGGAGGCCGGCGGUCCUCGGGUGUAGAGGGAGACAGCUGCCCGGGGGCACGGGCGAGCACCUCUGGGGGUCCCGGAUCCUAGACCCGCGGCCCCGGGGUGGCGGUGACGCCUGGAGUCGUGCGGGCUUGGCUGGGCCGGGCUCUUGGGGCAGCCAGGUGCCGCUGCUGGCGUCUAGGCCACACCACCCUGAACGCGCCGGCUCGCCUCUGAUCUGUUGAAGCUAAGCAGGGUCGGGACUGUUUAGUACUUGGAUGGGAUUCCGCCUGGUAAUAGCGGUACCGUAGGCUUUUGGCUUCCCGCUCCCUCCCUCUUUCCUCCUUUUGUCUCCGUGCUUCCCAACUGCCCCCCGCCUCUGCUCCCGGUUGACCGCCCCCGCGCCCCAGCAGAAGCCCAGGUCCUCCUCCUGAAGAUCCGCCACUGCAGCACCGCCAGGCAGCAGCAUCCCACCUCUUCCGACUCGCGGCAGCCCCACCCAACCCGGGCGGGACGGGACCAACCCCGAGGGUGCAGGCGCGGGUUCCCUGAGGUCCCGGGUGUCUUCACGCUCCCCGGACUCCCAGGCAAUUGUAUUCAUUCAUUCAGCGUCACUGCAACCGUCCAAGCCGGUGGAAGGGGCGAGCAGGGGCAGCGGGUGCCACAGACCCCAGCCAAGACCUCCGCUCCAGAACCCGAGGGCUGCUUUCCCCAGAGGAAGGACAUUUUCUUCGCCAGCCACGAGGAAAACCGUCCCUGUGCACCCUGUUUCCCAAUGCCACCGACUUCGUGUAAACUCCAGUCCGGAGGACAGGAGAGAGACCCAGGCCUCGCCCCGUGGACAGGCUCGGCGCCACGGCUCCCGCCAGACACAGGAGCACACUCUACAAAUCUCGGGGCCCAUCGCAUCAAGGAGACAGAAAGAAGCAAACGAAGGACCUUAUGAAACACACCCCCAAAGCAACCAACCAAUCCAAGAAAAAAAAACACGUCUCAGGGCUCCAUUGGUUUUCCUGGCUGGGGGGCCCUGACCCCCUGUUCUAGCCCGGCCCAAGAACCCUGCACCCCACCCCGGCCUGCUGAAAGGUGCCCUGUCUACCUGAGCAGAGCCUCCCUCUCCAAGGCUCUGUUGCUCUCCCUCU
Molecule: long non-coding RNA, 1139 nt
Filed under: Homo sapiens (human)
Lineage: Eukaryota; Metazoa; Chordata; Mammalia; Primates; Hominidae
Source: RNAcentral